GAUGAACGCUGGCGGCGUGCCUAAUACAUGCAAGUCGAACGCAUUGUGGUUGAAAUGAUAUGAAGAACUUGUUCAGAUUUGAUUUUCAACAUUGCAAUGAGUGGCGAACGGGUGAGUAACACGUGGGAAACCUACCUCUUAGCAGGGGAUAACAUUUGGAAACAAAUGCUAAUACCGUAUAAUAAUUAAAACCGCAUGGUUUUAGUUUAAAAGAUGGUCUUGCUAUCACUAAGAGAUGGUCCCGCGGUGUAUUAGUUAGUUGGUGAGGUAAUGGCUCACCAAGACAAUGAUACAUAGCCGAGUUGAGAGACUGACCGGCCACAAUGGGACUGAGACACGGCCCAUACUCCUACGGGAGGCAGCAGUAGGGAAUCUUCCACAAUGGACGAAAGUCUGAUGGAGCAACGCCGCGUGUGUGAUGAAAGGGUUUCGGCUCGUAAAACACUGUUGUAAGAGAAGAAUGACAUUGAGAGUAACUGUUC
This 482-nucleotide ribosomal RNA is filed under the name uncultured bacterium. RNAcentral's name for it is "bacterial SSU rRNA". It matches the Rfam family "Bacterial small subunit ribosomal RNA", at positions 28 to 470 of the family's 1533-position model. The record is from RNAcentral.